AGAGUUUGAUCAUGGCUCAGAAUGAACGCUGGCGGCGUGCCUAACACAUGCAAGUUGAGCGGUAAGGCCCCUUCGGGGGUACACGAGCAGCGAACGGGUGAGUAUCGCGUGGGUAACCUACCCAGAAGUGGGGGAUAGCCUCGGGAAACCGGGGGUAAUACCGCAUAAGGUUUCGACGACAUAAGUCGAUGAGAGCAAAGGCGGGGAUCCUUCGGGACCUGUCGCUUCUGGAUGGGCCCGCGUCCGAUUAGCUAGUUGGUGAGGUAAUGGCUCACCAAGGCUGCGAUCGGUAGCCGGCCUGAGAGGGUGAACGGCCACAUUGGGACUGAGACACGGCCCAGACUCCUACGGGAGGCAGCAGUGGGGAAUCUUGGGCAAUGGGGGAAACCCUGACCCAGCGACGCCGCGUGGAGGAUGACGGCCUUCGGGUUGUAAACUCCUGUCAGGUGGGAAGAAAAGCUUGUCGGAUAAUACCCGGCAGGAAGGGACG
This 490-nucleotide ribosomal RNA is filed under the name uncultured Acidobacteriota bacterium. RNAcentral's name for it is "bacterial SSU rRNA". It matches the Rfam family "Bacterial small subunit ribosomal RNA", at positions 8 to 495 of the family's 1533-position model. The record is from RNAcentral. Lineage: Bacteria; Pseudomonadati; Acidobacteriota.